CCUACGGGUGGCAGCAGUGAGGAAUAUUGGUCAAUGGUCGGGAGACUGAACCAGCCAAGCCGCGUGAGGGAUGAAGGUACAGAGUAUCGUAAACCUCUUUUGUCAGGGAACAAAGGCGGGGACGUGUCCCCGGAUGAGUGUACCUGAAGAAAAAGCAUCGGCUAACUCCGUGCCAGCAGCCGCGGUAAUACGGAGGAUGCGAGCGUUAUCCGGAUUUAUUGGGUUUAAAGGGUGCGCAGGUGGAAGAUCAAGUCAGCGGUAAAAUUGAGGGGCUCAACCUCGUCGAGCCGUUGAAACUGUUUUUCUUGAGUACUGGAGAGGCAGACGGAAUUCCUAGUGUAGCGGUGAAAUGCGUAGAUAUUAGGAGGAACACCAGUGGCGAAGGCGGUCUGCUGGACAGCAACUGACGCUGAGGCGCGAAAGCGUGGGGAGCAAACAGGAUUAGAUACCCGGGUAGUC
This 459-nucleotide ribosomal RNA is filed under the name uncultured bacterium. RNAcentral's name for it is "partial 16S ribosomal RNA". It matches the Rfam family "Bacterial small subunit ribosomal RNA", at positions 338 to 795 of the family's 1533-position model. The record is from RNAcentral.